Molecule: long non-coding RNA, 254 nt
Organism: Chelonia mydas (Green sea turtle)
Lineage: Eukaryota; Metazoa; Chordata; Testudines; Cheloniidae
Exons: 3
Source: RefSeq, a predicted model, not a curated record
CCGUGUUCAUGCACAUUGCAUUGCGUCCACAGUCUGGCGGCCUCGGCCACAGACACUCGUUAAUAUCUUCCCAGGUCUCCGUUGUGUCGGUGAAGAAGCGAUACUUUCUUGGCCGGUACCCAUCCAGGCAGGUGCAGUGGGUGUUGUUCACACACUUGGCGUUUGGUGGGCAGGACAUAUGGUUGUUGCAGUCCUCAGUGGUACCUGCAGGGGCGGGAACAGCUGGGCAGGGUCAGCCAGUGCAGAGCGGCCCC